CCCGAUAGGACUAUCCACCUGAAAUGGUUUGUGUUCCAAAUGAUUUAUCGCCGUAGGAUGGGACUGCGGCCUAUCAGUUUGUUGGUGAGGUAAUGGCCCACCAAGACUAUUACAGGUACGGGCUCUGAGAGGAGUAGCCCGGAGAUGGGUACUGAGACACGGACCCAGGCCCUAUGGGGCGCAGCAGGCGAGAAAACUUUGCAAUGUGCGAAAGCACGACAAGGUUAAUCCGAGUGAUUUCUGCUAAAGAAACCUUUUGUUAGUCCUAGAAACACUAACGAAUAAGGGGUGGGCAAGUUCUGGUGUCAGCCGCCGCGGUAAAACCAGCACCUCAAGUGGUCAGGAUGAUUAUUGGGCCUAAAGCAUCCGUAGCCGGCUCUGUAAGUUUUCGGUUAAAUCUGUACGCUCAACGUACAGGCUGCCGGGAAUACUGCAGAGCUAGGGAGUGGGAGAGGUAGACGGUACUCGGGAGGAAGUGGUAAAAUGCUUUGAUCUCUCGAUGACCACCUGUGGCGAAGGCGGUCUACCAGAACACGUCCGACGGUGAGGGAUGAAAGCUGGGGGAGCAAACCGGAUUAGAUACCCGGGUAGUCCCAGCUGUAAACUAUGCAAACUCAGUGAUGCAUUGGCUUGUGGCCAAUACAGUAUUGCAGGGAAGCCGUUAAGUUUGCCGCCUGGGAAGUACGUACGCAAGUAUGAAACUUAAAGGAAUUGGCGGGGGAGCACCACAAGGGGUGAAGCCUGCGGUUCAAUUGGAUUCAACGCCGGAAAUCUUACCCGGAGAGACAGCAGAAUGAAGGUCAAGCUGAAGACUUUACCAGACAAGCUGAGAGGUGGUGCAUGGCCGUCGCCAGCUCGUGCCGUGAGAUGUCCUGUUAAGUCAGGUAACGAGCGAGAUCC
RNAcentral lists this ribosomal RNA (900 nucleotides) under uncultured archaeon. RNAcentral's name for it is "bacterial SSU rRNA". It matches the Rfam family "Archaeal small subunit ribosomal RNA", at positions 152 to 1053 of the family's 1478-position model. The record is from RNAcentral.